GGAGAGGUGCCAGAGCGGUCGAUUGGGGCUCCCUGCUAAGGAGUUGUACUCUAACGGGUACCGGGGGUUCGAAUCCCUUCCUCUCCG
Molecule: transfer RNA, 87 nt
Filed under: Flavobacteriales bacterium
Lineage: Bacteria; Pseudomonadati; Bacteroidota; Flavobacteriia; Flavobacteriales
Description: tRNA-Ser
Rfam family: tRNA
About the family: Transfer RNA (tRNA) molecules are approximately 80 nucleotides in length.
Source: RNAcentral